GGCGAGAUGGCCGAGCGGUCUAAGGCGCCAGACUAAGGUUAUCAUACCUGGUGAUAUCUGGUCCGAAAGGGCGUGGGUUCGAAUCCCACUCUCGUCA
This is a non-coding RNA of Cubamyces lactineus, 97 nucleotides long. The record is from the annotation of a GenBank genome assembly. Lineage: Eukaryota; Fungi; Basidiomycota; Agaricomycetes; Polyporales; Polyporaceae.